This 218-nucleotide microRNA precursor is filed under the name Malus domestica (apple). RNAcentral's name for it is "miR10993b stem-loop (mdm-MIR10993b)". The record is from miRBase by way of RNAcentral. Lineage: Eukaryota; Viridiplantae; Streptophyta; Magnoliopsida; Rosales; Rosaceae.
AUUGUAUUAUAUAUCCCUAGGUUUGGAGAAACUUUUAGUUGUAACGGGAACACGGGUGGUACACUACGUGUUUUUAUGUAAGUGGUGGGAAAUUUUAUUUUUUAAGUUAUUAACUUUUUAACACUCAUAUCCCACCAUUUAUAUAGCGACACGUGAUGUAACACUCUGUGUGACGRUCACACUGAAAAAUCUCUUCUAGAUUUGGGGAGGUAAGGCAU